This is a long non-coding RNA of Zalophus californianus (California sea lion), 342 nucleotides long. RefSeq lists it as uncharacterized. The record is from RefSeq and is a predicted model, not a curated record. The transcript is spliced from 3 exons. NCBI's taxonomy places the organism in Eukaryota, Metazoa, Chordata, Mammalia, Carnivora, Otariidae.
CGUCACAAUAGGCGCGGAAAACUCAGGUUCCCCAGAAGAAGCGAUUUACUUGCCCAAUAUCACAAUGCUGGGGGUAGAGGAACAGAGAGGAACCUGAAAUGAGGGUUGGAGAAAAUGUAAUGUUUGCCUAUGGAUAUGUUCCUACGUAGGACAACCGGGCAAACCAUGUGUGUUUCAGGGUCUGGCAUCAGAACCUGGGGAGAAGGUCACUACAAAACACUGGAAAAGUUUGCCAACCUCUGAUAUGAGAUCCUGAAUGAAGAGCACUUUAGAACAAUGCCUGGCACAGGGUGUUUAGUAAACUCUGUUAUUAUUAAUAUGUGGGUAUUUAUAAACUCUUCU